Molecule: ribosomal RNA, 440 nt
Filed under: uncultured bacterium
Lineage: Bacteria
Description: bacterial SSU rRNA
Rfam family: Bacterial small subunit ribosomal RNA
Source: RNAcentral
CCUACGGGUGGCAGCAGUGGGGAAUAUUGCACAAUGGAGGAAACCCUGAUGCAGCAACGCCGCGUGAGCGAUGAAGGCCUUCGGGUCGUAAAGCUCUGUCCUAAGGGAAGAAUACUGACGGUACCUUAGGAGGAAGCCCCGGCUAACUACGUGCCAACAGCCGCGGUAAUACGUAGGGGGCUAGCGUUAUCCGGAAUUACUGGGCGUAAAGGGUGCGUAGGCGGCCCUUCAAGUCAGAGGUGAAAGGCUACGGCUCAACCGUAGUAAGCCUUUGAAAAUGUAGGGCUUGAGUGCAGGAGAGUGGAGUUGAAUUCCCAGUGUAGCCGGGAAAAGCGUAUGUAUUGGGAGGAAAACAAGUUGCCAAGGCGGCUCUCUGGACUGUAACUGACGCGUAGGCACGAAAGCUUGGGGAAGGAACAGGAUUAGAUACCCUAGUAGUC